GGUAUUUUAACCGCGCCGUUCUGAGGAAACUUGCCUCGGCAGCUCUUGUGAGCACACGUAGGCGAAGGCGUUUUCCGCUACUCGCAGAAGGAGGCAGACAGACGACUUUGAAGGGCCAGCUGAGCGCUAAAUGAGGUGGCCGUGAAUCCCCGCGCAGGUGACAGCCGAGUCCCGAUUUCGCUGCAGUGCGCACAACUUCACUUCCUUGCGACUCCGUCUGGUCCGCAGAAGUGCAGAAAGGCAUUUGAAGAUGAUGCGAUUGCUGUUCCUGUGUCUGCUGCUGCUGCUGCCAGCUGCUGCGGCUGUUUCAGAAGAUGUGGAGGGAUCAGCUACUGGCGAUGUCACUAAUGAUGACGAGGACUAUGGCAGGAAUGGCGAAAUUGGUGGGCUUCCUCCCACCUCAACUGCAGAUAAGGCCACAGGCGUCGGUGAAAACCAGUUAAUGCUGACUGUCAUCAUUGCAGCCGUGGCAGUUGUGGCUCUUUCCAUCGCAGCAAUAGUCACCAUAUUCCUAGUAAGACGCAAAAUGCACAAUCGGCAGCAAGGGAUCUACUCGGUGCCUACAGAACAGGACCAGAAAGGGGCCGUCUAA
Molecule: long non-coding RNA, 592 nt
Filed under: Salarias fasciatus (jewelled blenny)
Lineage: Eukaryota; Metazoa; Chordata; Actinopteri; Blenniiformes; Blenniidae
Description: lncRNA (ENSSFAG00005010632.1)
Source: RNAcentral